UCCUUAAGAACCACUGGUUGAAGCCAGAAAUGGGCAGUCUGCAGUGUCCAUUGUAGGUGCUUGGUGAGCAGGAGAUUGCCUUUUUUGCUUUUCUGGAGCAGGACAUUUACAGCAAAGAUCUAAACAUGUUAAAGACUCCAGUGAAAGUUCACAAAGUCACUUCAGGGCACACCUUCGGUGCUGAUGAAGAACUGCUGAGUCAAGUGAAGAAGAGGAUACCACUGACAAUCACAAACUGGCAGGAAAGCUUCAUCAUCAUUGUUUUCUGCCCAGUCACCUCUCUGGUUGGAUCAGAUGUGGAAGCAGCCAUGAGUCUGGUGCCAGCAGAAGAUCAAAAAGUCAUUCUGGUUGUGAUGCACCACGUCCGAGAUGAGAACUACUCCACAGCUGGGACGCAGUGGUCUGAAACGUUUCCUAAUGUCAUCUUGGAUGUUCAUGUUCUCUUCCAUGAGACUGUGCAAGGAUUACUAUCUUGUGCUAAAAAUCGGGAGGCAGUCAAUCAAAUAGCUGAUACAUUAGAUCGACUGUCACAGGAUCAACAGAUAGUCUGAGACAAGGGUUACUAAGAUGCCGUGACGAGCGUUCUGAGCAUUUACCCUAUUGGAAGACUACUGUUGAAAACUGAAAACAUAAAUAAAAAUGGUUAAUUUAUCACAUUGUUGUUGCUGUAAUCCAACUAUUUUCAUGGUCAGCAGAAGAAGGGCUGUUAUGUAACUGAUAAGGAGAAAGAGGGACAGGAUGAAGGGUGAUGAAGAAGUAUCAAGCAUGUAAUAUGAAGUUAGUGAAGUCGUUGGUGUGGAGAUAUCUGAAAAAAAUGUUAAUUGUUUAAUGACUUUGAACUUUUCUGUAAACAGUCUACACUAAGGGCCUGCUUUUCAAAGACUCCAAAUAAUGACCACUAAAUAGCACUGACAAAGAAAACUAUGAGAGUAAUAAGGGAGGGUGUUAUGGAAAACUUGUGGACCCACUUCUCCAGAAUGAUCACACGUCCCAGAAUAACGCACACACAAGCGACAAAAGUGUUGUCAGACCUGCCCUCCCCUCCACCUCCCCCUACCCUCCAGCAACUCCGGUCACAUCACCUGGGUAACAUGUUUUUUUUGUCUCAGUGAUUAACAUCUUUAUAGCCUGAAGGCUGUUCUUAGGAGGAAGUUAAUAUUCAGGGUUGUUUUUUUUUUAUUAUUUACAAGCAUGCCACAAUGUUUAGGAUCAGGUUUGUUACUUCUCUGCCUUGAUGUAAGUGCAUGGAAAUUAAAAUUGGCUCUCUUCCCUGCCCCCACCCACUGUCCCGCAGACACUGCCUCCAAGGCAGCCAUUGAUUUUCCCACAAAUAUUACUCUACUGUUAUUGUAAAGGUUUGCUAACCUCAUAUGUAUUUAUAAAA
This is a long non-coding RNA of Fundulus heteroclitus (mummichog), 1384 nucleotides long. RefSeq lists it as uncharacterized. NCBI's taxonomy places the organism in Eukaryota, Metazoa, Chordata, Actinopteri, Cyprinodontiformes, Fundulidae. The transcript has 4 exons. The record is from RefSeq and is a predicted model, not a curated record.